UCGCUUCACUGGUGUGGAGUUAGUGGAUAAGCGGCAGAGGGGUGAGCUGGGAAAUGACUUCCCUUCCCUUCUGCCCUCCAAAAGUGCUCCUUAGUCUUCUGUGUGGUUCAAGUCAGUUGCCAUCCCGUAAGAAAGAGAAACCAGACACGAGAAGUUCAGCGUGUUACAAGCCGACCACAACACAGUGGUGGUGGCAAGGAAAAGCAAACCACCACUGUGAACAACGACAUCAUCCCUUCCCUGAGAAGGAUUGUAUGCCUUUCAUCAGAUGCUGUGAAUCCCGAACUCACUGAUUCCCAUAAGCAGAGGACCGACUUUAACACGUCCCUAGGGUGGGUUGACAUACGAACCACACAACCAAACAACUGAAGGCAGCUGAAGAAAAUGCCAAUGAAGUGGACGCGGUAAGACACGUGCGUGCCCACAGUCACAUGCAGAAGGACUGGCAUCACCAAAACCAAUAUACCCUAAAGUCAGAUCCG
Molecule: long non-coding RNA, 482 nt
Filed under: Mus pahari (shrew mouse)
Lineage: Eukaryota; Metazoa; Chordata; Mammalia; Rodentia; Muridae
Description: lncRNA (MGP_PahariEiJ_G0004508.1)
Source: RNAcentral